CCAGACUCCUACGGGAGGCAGCAGUGGGGGAUAUUGCACAAUGGGGGGAACCCUGAUGCAGCGACGCCGCGUGAAGGAAGAAGUAUCUCGGUAUGUAAACUUCUAUCAGCAGGGAAGAAAAUGACGGUACCUGACUAAGAAGCCCCGGCUAACUACGUGCCAGCAGCCGCGGUAAUACGUAGGGGGCAAGCGUUAUCCGGAUUUACUGGGUGUAAAGGGAGCGUAGGCGGCAGUGCAAGUCAGAAGUGAAAGCCCGGGGCUCAACUCCGGGACUGCCCUUGGAACUGCAUGGCUGGAGUGCGGGAGGGGCAGGCGGAAUUCCUGGUGUAGCGGUGAAAUGCGUAGAUAUCAGGAGGAACACCGGCGGCGAAGGCGGCCUGCUGGACCGCGACUGACGUUGAGGCUCGAAAGCGUGGGGAGCGAACAGGAUUAGAUACCCGAGUACC
Molecule: ribosomal RNA, 446 nt
Filed under: uncultured bacterium
Lineage: Bacteria
Description: partial 16S ribosomal RNA
Rfam family: Bacterial small subunit ribosomal RNA
Source: RNAcentral